UACCAACCCGAUGCAAACUGCGAAUACCGGAGAAUGUUAUCACGGGAGACACACGGCGGGUGCUAACGUCCGUCGUGAAGAGGGAAACAACCCAGACCGCCAGCUAAGGUCCCAAAGUCAUGGUUAAGUGGGAAACGAUGUGGGAAGGCCCAGACAGCCAGGAUGUUGGCUUAGAAGCAGCCAUCAUUUAAAGAAAGCGUAAUAGCUCACUGGUCGAGUCGGCCUGCGCGGAAGAUGUAACGGGGCUAAACCAUGCACCGAAGCUGCGGCAGCGACACUGUGUGUUGUUGGGUAGGGGAGCGUUCUGUAAGCCUGUGAAGGUGGCCUGUGAGGGUUGCUGGAGGUAUCAGAAGUGCGAAUGCUGACAUAAGUAACGAUAAAGCGGGUGAAAAGCCCGCUCGCCGGAAGACCAAGGGUUCCUGUCCAACGUUAAUCGGGGCAGGGUGAGUCGACCCCUAAGGCGAGGCCGAAAGGCGUAGUCGAUGGGAAACGGGUUAAUAUUCCCGUACUUGGUGUUACUGCGAAGGGGGGACGGAGAAGGCUAUGUUGGCCGGGCGACGGUUGUCCCGGUUUAAGCGUGUAGGUGUGUGUUCCAGGUAAAUCCGGUU
RNAcentral lists this ribosomal RNA (608 nucleotides) under Salmonella enterica subsp. enterica serovar Agona. RNAcentral's name for it is "partial 23S ribosomal RNA". It matches the Rfam family "Bacterial large subunit ribosomal RNA", at positions 937 to 1547 of the family's 2925-position model. Lineage: Bacteria; Pseudomonadati; Pseudomonadota; Gammaproteobacteria; Enterobacterales; Enterobacteriaceae. The record is from RNAcentral.